RNAcentral lists this transfer RNA (70 nucleotides) under Dipodomys ordii (Ord's kangaroo rat). It matches the Rfam family "tRNA". Rfam says of the family: Transfer RNA (tRNA) molecules are approximately 80 nucleotides in length. Their secondary structure includes four short double-helical elements and three loops (D, anti-codon, and T loops). The record is from Rfam by way of RNAcentral. Lineage: Eukaryota; Metazoa; Chordata; Mammalia; Rodentia; Heteromyidae.
GGGAAUGUGGCUUUGUGGUAGAGUGCUUGCUUGGGAUGCAUGAAGCCCUGGGUUCAAUUCCUCAGUACCU